GGGUCCAUAGCUCAAGGGCAGAGCACGCGGCUCAUAACCGUUAGGUUGCAGGUUCGAAUCCUGCUGGACCCA
This 72-nucleotide transfer RNA is filed under the name Anaerolineaceae bacterium. Its description in RNAcentral is "tRNA-Ile". It matches the Rfam family "tRNA". Rfam says of the family: Transfer RNA (tRNA) molecules are approximately 80 nucleotides in length. Their secondary structure includes four short double-helical elements and three loops (D, anti-codon, and T loops). The record is from RNAcentral. RNAcentral also lists the same sequence under 1 other name. Lineage: Bacteria; Bacillati; Chloroflexota; Anaerolineae; Anaerolineales; Anaerolineaceae.